UACGAGGGGGGCGAGCGUUGUUCGGAAUUAUUGGGCGUAAAGGGUGCGUAGGCGGUUUGGUAAGUCUUGUGUGAAAUCUACAGGCUCAACUUGUAGUCUGCACGAGAAACUGCCGGGCUUGAGUGUGGGAGAGGUGAGUGGAAUUCCUGGUGUAGCGGUGAAAUGCGCAGAUAUCAGGAGGAACACCGGUGGCGAAGGCGGGUCUCUGGGCCGGUACCGACGCUGAGGAGCGAAAGCGUGGGGAGCGAACAGG
This 253-nucleotide ribosomal RNA is filed under the name uncultured bacterium. RNAcentral describes it as "partial 16S ribosomal RNA". It matches the Rfam family "Bacterial small subunit ribosomal RNA", at positions 524 to 776 of the family's 1533-position model. The record is from RNAcentral.